This 253-nucleotide ribosomal RNA is filed under the name uncultured bacterium. Its description in RNAcentral is "partial 16S ribosomal RNA". It matches the Rfam family "Bacterial small subunit ribosomal RNA", at positions 524 to 776 of the family's 1533-position model. The record is from RNAcentral.
UACAGAGGGUGCAAGCGUUAAUCGGAAUUACUGGGCGUAAAGCGCGCGUAGGUGGUUUGUUAAGUUGGAUGUGAAAUCCCCGGGCUCAACCUGGGAACUGCAUUCAAAACUGACAAGCUAGAGUAUGGUAGAGGGUGGUGGAAUUUCCUGUGUAGCGGUGAAAUGCGUAGAUAUAUGAAGGAACACCAGUGGCGAAGGCGACCACCUGGACUGAUACUGACACUGAGGUGCGAAAGCGUGGGGAGCAAACAGG